RNAcentral lists this ribosomal RNA (550 nucleotides) under uncultured bacterium. RNAcentral's name for it is "bacterial SSU rRNA". It matches the Rfam family "Bacterial small subunit ribosomal RNA", at positions 355 to 896 of the family's 1533-position model. The record is from RNAcentral.
UAGGGAAUCUUCGGCAAUGGACGGAAGUCUGACCGAGCAACGCCGCGUGAGUGAAGAAGGUUUUCGGAUCGUAAAGCUCUGUUGUAAGAGAAGAACGAGUGUGAGAGUGGAAAGUUCACACUGUGACGGUAUCUUACCAGAAAGGGACGGCUAACUACGUGCCAGCAGCCGCGGUAAUACGUAGGUCCCGAGCGUUGUCCGGAUUUAUUGGGCGUAAAGCGAGCGCAGGCGGUUAGAUAAGUCUGAAGUUAAAGGCUGCGGCUUAACCAUAGUAGGCUUUGGAAACUGUUUAACUUGAGUGCAAGAGGGGAGAGUGGAAUUCCAUGUGUAGCGGUGAAAUGCGUAGAUAUAUGGAGGAACACCGGUGGCGAAAGCGGCUCUCUGGCUUGUAACUGACGCUGAGGCUCGAAAGCGUGGGGAGCAAACAGGAUUAGAUACCCUGGUAGUCCACGCUGUAAACGAUGAGUGCUAGGUGUUAGACCCUUUCCGGGGUUUAGUGCCGUAGCUAACGCAUUAAGCACUCCGCCUGGGGAGUACGACCGCAAGGUUG